RNAcentral lists this long non-coding RNA (313 nucleotides) under Pan troglodytes (chimpanzee). RNAcentral describes it as "long non-coding RNA NONPTRT007526". Lineage: Eukaryota; Metazoa; Chordata; Mammalia; Primates; Hominidae. The record is from RNAcentral.
CUUGAGAAAUACUCAUGCUACUGAAUCCAAAAUGGUGACUCUGUUCUUGUUGAUACAUUAUUAAGGCUGGGGUGUUUUGAGAAGGCAGUAGUAGGAGUAAACCUCCACACUCUUUUCUCAGGCCUUACCUAAAUCACCAAAGAGAAGAGUGGAGAGUGGGGACAGGUGUUUACCAACACCAAAUCUAAAUCUUUGCGUGUGUAAGGAAGACGGCAAGGCAUACACAGGGCCAUUCCUCUAUAAGUGAAUCUUAGUAAUGAAAAUUAGUGAUAAGGGCUGACAGCAUGAGUAGACGAUGGGAGACAUGAGUCUG